Molecule: ribosomal RNA, 396 nt
Filed under: uncultured bacterium
Lineage: Bacteria
Description: partial 16S ribosomal RNA
Rfam family: Bacterial small subunit ribosomal RNA
Source: RNAcentral
AUACGUAGGGAGCGAGCGUUGUCCGGAAUUACUGGGUGUAAAGGGAGCGUAGGCGGGAUGGCAAGUCAGAUGUGAAAACUAUGGGCUCAACCCAUAGACUGCAUUUGAAACUGUUGUUCUUGAGUGAAGUAGAGGUAAGCGGAAUUCCUGGUGUAGCGGUGAAAUGCGUAGAUAUCAGGAGGAACAUCGGUGGCGAAGGCGGCUUACUUGGCUUUUACUGACGCUGAGGCUCGAAAGCGUGGGGAGCAAACAGGAUUAGAUACCCUGGUAGUCCACGCUGUAAACGAUGAUUACUAGGUGUGGGGGGACUGACCCCUUCCGUGCCGCAGUUAACACAAUAAGUAUUCCGCCUGGGGAGUACGGCCGCAAGGUUGAAACUUAAAGGAAUUGACGGGG